This 235-nucleotide unclassified non-coding RNA is filed under the name plant metagenome. Its description in RNAcentral is "partial contains small subunit ribosomal RNA and internal transcribed spacer 1". The stretch from base 1 to 46 matches the Rfam family "Eukaryotic small subunit ribosomal RNA", at positions 1786 to 1831 of the family's 1831-position model. The record is from RNAcentral.
AAGUCGUAACAAGGUUUCCGUAGGUGAACCUGCGGAAGGAUCAUUAAAGAGAGCGACGUUCGCGUUCCGGGGCUUCGGCCCUCCUCUUCACCCGUGUUACCUUACCACAUUCGUUGCUUUGGCAGGCCUUGGGUCGUGCUCAUCCGCCCGGGGGUGUCCCGGGGGUCGAGCGCCUGCCGAAGCCAUUAACUCUGAAUCAACCAUGUUGUCUGAGUGAAAACAAAAUCAAGCAAAA